GAUGAACGCUGGCGGUGUGCCUAAUACAUGCAAGUCGAGCGAACGGACGAGAAGCUUGCUUCUCUGAUGUUAGCGGCGGACGGGUGAGUAACACGUGGAUAACCUACCUAUAAGACUGGGAUAACUUCGGGAAACCGGAGCUAAUACCGGAUAAUAUUUUGAACCGCAUGGUUCAAAAGUGAAAGACGGUCUUGCUGUCACUUAUAGAUGGAUCCGCGCUGCAUUAGCUAGUUGGUAAGGUAACGGCUUACCAAGGCAACGAUGCAUAGCCGACCUGAGAGGGUGAUCGGCCACACUGGAAGUGAGACACGGUCCAGACUCCUACGGGAGGCAGCAGUAGGGAAUCUUCCGCAAUGGGCGAAAGCCUGACGGAGCAACGCCGCGUGAGUGAUGAAGGUCUUCGGAUCGUAAAACUCUGUUAUUAGGGAAGAACAUAUGUGUAAGUAACUGUGCACAUCUUGACGGUACCUAAUCAGAAAGCCACGGCUAACUACGUG
RNAcentral lists this ribosomal RNA (497 nucleotides) under uncultured bacterium. RNAcentral describes it as "partial 16S ribosomal RNA". It matches the Rfam family "Bacterial small subunit ribosomal RNA", at positions 28 to 507 of the family's 1533-position model. The record is from RNAcentral.